RNAcentral lists this transfer RNA (84 nucleotides) under Rhizaria sp. RNAcentral's name for it is "tRNA-Ser". It matches the Rfam family "tRNA". Rfam says of the family: Transfer RNA (tRNA) molecules are approximately 80 nucleotides in length. Their secondary structure includes four short double-helical elements and three loops (D, anti-codon, and T loops). Further hydrogen bonds mediate the characteristic L-shaped molecular structure. tRNAs have two regions of fundamental functional importance: the anti-codon, which is responsible for specific mRNA codon recognition, and the 3' end, to which the tRNAs corresponding amino acid is attached (by aminoacyl-tRNA synthetases). tRNAs cope with the degeneracy of the genetic code in two manners: having more than one tRNA (with a specific anti-codon) for a particular amino acid; and 'wobble' base-pairing, i.e. permitting non-standard base-pairing at the 3rd anti-codon position. The record is from RNAcentral.
GGGAAUAUGACUGAGUGGUCAAAAGUGCCUGUCUUGAAAAUAGGUAUGUUAAUAGCAUCGUGGGUUCGAAUCCCACUAUUUCCU